Molecule: unclassified non-coding RNA, 206 nt
Filed under: uncultured Sebacina
Lineage: Eukaryota; Fungi; Basidiomycota; Agaricomycetes; Sebacinales; Sebacinaceae
Description: sequence contains ITS2
Source: RNAcentral
GUACUCUCACACUCUCCGAUCCUUUGGAUUCGGGGAGCGGUGGACUUGGGUGCUUGCUGCUUUUCCGCGUGGCUCACCUCAAAUGCGUUAGUGCACCUCUUGGUUGGACAUAGUACGGCGUGAUAAGUAUCUUCGCCGGCACCUCGCAAGAGGGUGGCCGAUCGAGAGCUCUGUGCUUUCAAACCGUCUUCGGACAACAUCUGACA